UCAGGUGACUAUAGCAUCAGGGUUCCACCUCUUCCCAUUCCGAACAGAGAAGUUAAGCCUGAUCACGCCGAUGGUACUGCGUAACAGUGGGAGAGUAGGUAGUCGCCGUUU
Ribosomal RNA from Bacteroides fragilis NCTC 9343, 111 nucleotides. Lineage: Bacteria; Pseudomonadati; Bacteroidota; Bacteroidia; Bacteroidales; Bacteroidaceae. The record is from Rfam.